UAGUCGAGAGGGUGCCUGAGCUGACCUACUCUGGUGAUCAGAUGGCUGAAUACCCUAACUGUCAUCAUAGAACCCUCAUCCAGUAACUGAUGGAAGCAGAUGCAGAGAUCCAUGGCCAGCUCAUGGAACUUUCUCCAAAACUGACUAAAUACUAGGAUACAAACCAAGUCCCGACAGAUCAAAGAAAACUGAAUAAAACUCAGCAUCUUGUCUGACCUUCAUGGAUUAGAGCAGGACAUAAACAACAAUAGAAAUAGCAGAAAUGAUACAAACUCAUGGAAACUGAACAACUUACCACACAUGAAAAAUGGGUCAAGACAGAAAUCCGGAAGGAAAUUACAAACAUUCUGGAACAGAACAAGAAUGAACACACAGUACGUGCAAUCACAAGGGAAGCAACAAAGGCGCUUCUAAGAACCAAGCUCAUUGCACCAAGUCCCUGCACCAAAGCCCUGGGGAGAUCUUCUAUCAGCUACUUAACCACACACCCAAAAGCUCUAGGAUAAAGGGAGGAAACAAUGCCCUAGAAGAGUACAUGGGAAGAAAUGAUCAAACUCAGAAUCAAAUCAAUAAAAUGGAAACAAAAAAUAA
Molecule: long non-coding RNA, 591 nt
Organism: Peromyscus eremicus (cactus mouse)
Lineage: Eukaryota; Metazoa; Chordata; Mammalia; Rodentia; Cricetidae
Exons: 2
Source: RefSeq, a predicted model, not a curated record